GUAAAGGAUGGGCAUGCGUGACAUUAGCUAGUUGGAGAGGUAACGGCUCACCAAGGCUACGAUGUCUAGGGGUUCUGAGAGGAAGAUCCCCCACACUGGUACUGAGACACGGACCAGACUCCUACGGGAGGCAGCAGUGAGGAAUAUUGGGCAAUGGGCGCAAGCCUGACCCAGCCAUGCCGCGUGAAGGAUGAAUGCCCUAUGGGUUGUAAACUACUUUUGUACGAGACGAAACUCCUGGUCGUGACCGGGAUUGACUGUAUCGUGCGAAUAAGCAUCGGCUAACUCCGUGCCAGCAGCCGCGGUAAUACGGAGGAUGCAAGCGUUAUCCGGAUUUAUUGGGUUUAAAGGGUGCGUAGGCGGAAUAAUAAGUCAGUGGUGAAAGCCUGUGGCUUAACCAUAGAAUUGCCAUUGAUACUGUUAUUCUUGAGUAUAGUUGAAGUGGGCGGAAUGUGUAAUGUAGCGGUGAAAUGCUUAGAUAUUACACAGAACACCAAUUGCGAAGGCAGCUCACUAAGCUGUUACUGACGCUGAGGCACGAAAGCGUGGGGAGCAAACAGGAUUAGAUACCCUGGUAGUCCACGCCGUAAACGAUGAUCACUCGUUGUUGGCGAUACACCGUCAGCGACUGAGUGAAAGCAAUAAGUGAUCCACCUGGGGAGUACGGCGGCAACGCUGAAACUCAAAGGAAUUGACGG
This 698-nucleotide ribosomal RNA is filed under the name uncultured bacterium. RNAcentral describes it as "bacterial SSU rRNA". It matches the Rfam family "Bacterial small subunit ribosomal RNA", at positions 218 to 916 of the family's 1533-position model. The record is from RNAcentral.